RNAcentral lists this transfer RNA (64 nucleotides) under Falcidens acutargatus. RNAcentral's name for it is "tRNA-Ile". Lineage: Eukaryota; Metazoa; Mollusca; Caudofoveata; Chaetodermatida; Chaetodermatidae. The record is from RNAcentral.
GAUACCACGCCGAUGGUCGGAUUACUCUGAUGUAGUAAAUAGUACAUGUUUAUGUAUGGUAUUA